This 508-nucleotide ribosomal RNA is filed under the name uncultured bacterium. RNAcentral's name for it is "partial 16S ribosomal RNA". It matches the Rfam family "Bacterial small subunit ribosomal RNA", at positions 28 to 523 of the family's 1533-position model. The record is from RNAcentral.
GAUGAACGCUAGCUACAGGCUUAACACAUGCAAGUCGAGGGGAAACGAUAUUGGAAGCUUGCUUCCGAUAGGCGUCGACCGGCGCGCGGGUGAGUAACGCGUAUCCAACCUGCCCACCACUUGGGGAUAACCUUGCGAAAGUAAGGCUAAUACCCAAUGAUAUCUCAAGAAGACAUCUGAAAGGGAUUAAAGAUUUAUCGGUGAUGGAUGGGGAUGCGUCUGAUUAGCUUGUUGGCGGGGUAACGGCCCACCAAGGCGACGAUCAGUAGGGGUUCUGAGAGGAAGGUCCCCCACAUUAGAACUGAGACACGGUCCAAACUCCUACGGGAGGCAGCAGUGAGGAAUAUUGGUCAAUGGGCGAGAGCCUGAACCAGCCAAGUAGCGUGCAGGAUGACGGCCCUAUGGGUUGUAAACUGCUUUUAUAAGGGAAUAAAGUGAGCCUCGUGAGGCUUUUUGCAUGUACCUUAUGAAUAAGGACCGGCUAGUUCCGUGCCAGCAGCCGCCGUAA